Molecule: ribosomal RNA, 651 nt
Filed under: Joergensenia cephalodina
Lineage: Eukaryota; Fungi; Ascomycota; Lecanoromycetes; Peltigerales; Pannariaceae
Description: SSU rRNA
Source: RNAcentral
AGCACACUGUGCGCUCGCCGACGUCCAUGGUAUACUUUACAGCGGCGCGGAACUAGGGGCCAAUGGGCUCACCAGCUGAACCAGCAACUUGGAAGAAUGAAUGGCAAUAGCUAAUUGUAUUAAAAAUGAUUUUUACAAUAUCUGACUAUGUCGAAUAAAAUUCGAGAUAAAUUUAUGAUGAUGACAUUAUUUAUCUAUGUGUCUUGACUAAUAUUACGUGCCAUGCAGUCGCGGUAAUACGUAUGAAGACUAGUGUUAUUCAUCUUUAAUAGGUUUAAAGUGUACCCAGUGCGGUCGAUAUAAGCUCUAAACAAGCGUACUAUAUCUAACUAGAGUUAUAUAUGUAAUGGUGCAUGAAGCGUACUGUUGAGUGUAGAGAUAAAAUUCUAUCAUACCAGAUGAUUGCGCACAGUGUUUAGGCGAAAGCCAUCGCUAUAUGCUAAUAACUGAUCGUUGGCGGACGAUAGGCUUAAAUAACGAACAGCGAUUAGAUACCCCAGUAGUCUGUGCACAUAAUGAUGAAUGUCAUAGGUUACAAUAAAAGUAAAACUUUUAUCUAUAAAUGAAAGUGUAUAGCCAUUCUACCUCAAGAAUAAUUUGCGCAACCUUUGAUACUGAAAUCAUUACAACGUUCUUGAAACCAGUAGAGAA